UACGAGUGCCCCGAGCGUUAUCCGGAAUUAUUGGGCGUAAAGGGUGUGUAGGCGGUUUUUUUAGUCUUGUGUUAAAGCUCCCGGCUUAACCGGGAAAGUGCAUGAGAUACGGCAAAACUAGAGGAUGCGAGAGGUAAGCGGAACUCAUAGUGUAGGGGUGAAAUCCGUUGAUAUUAUGGGGAACACCAAAAGCGAAGGCAGCAUACUGGCGCGCUCCUGACGUUGAGACACGAAAGCGUGGGUAGCGAAUGGG
RNAcentral lists this ribosomal RNA (253 nucleotides) under uncultured bacterium. Its description in RNAcentral is "partial 16S ribosomal RNA". It matches the Rfam family "Bacterial small subunit ribosomal RNA", at positions 524 to 776 of the family's 1533-position model. The record is from RNAcentral.